RNAcentral lists this ribosomal RNA (566 nucleotides) under Catenaria anguillulae. RNAcentral describes it as "partial large subunit ribosomal RNA". It matches the Rfam family "Eukaryotic large subunit ribosomal RNA", at positions 161 to 605 of the family's 3401-position model. The record is from RNAcentral. Lineage: Eukaryota; Fungi; Blastocladiomycota; Blastocladiomycetes; Blastocladiales; Catenariaceae.
CCAUGGCAUGUCCGUGAAUCGUAAAGUCCACUGGAAUGUGGCAGCGNUNNNUNNNNUCUUUGGGUCAGAGAGGGUGAAAACCCCGUUUACAUUCAUUGUGGGGCGUGUCUGUUGUGUGGGCGUGUUGAAGAGUCGGAUUGUUUGGGAAUGCAAUCCAAAACGGGUGGUAAAUUCCAUCCAAGACUAAAUAUUAGCAAGAGACCGAUAGCGAACAAGUACCGUGAGGGAAAGAUGAAAAGCACUCUGAAGAGAGAGUGAAAUAGUACGUGAAAUUGCUGAAAGGGAAACGCUUGAGACGAUUGUUGCUCUUGGUUGAAUCAGUUUCGGCUGCUCUUUAACCUUGUUGGCAAGUCAGCAGCAUUUUCGAGUGGGAUUGACGCUUUUCAAGAAAGUAUUUUUUUUUCGCGGGUGUGUUAUAGCUUGAAUUUCUCGCNGUGGGGGGGGAGAGUGAUGACUGCUUGGCUCUUUUACUUGUAGGUUGUGUGUUUGUUUUGGCANNUAAAAGCCUUNUCUGAACCUCCCCGAGANAGGAUUGGCUAGCUAUGCACUGCCCGGUGGCUUGACGA